RNAcentral lists this ribosomal RNA (274 nucleotides) under uncultured bacterium. RNAcentral's name for it is "partial 16S ribosomal RNA". It matches the Rfam family "Bacterial small subunit ribosomal RNA", at positions 523 to 796 of the family's 1533-position model. The record is from RNAcentral.
AUACGUAGGGUGCGAGCGUUAAUCGGAAUUACUGGGCGUAAAGCGUGCGCAGGCGGUUUUGUAAGUCAGAUGUGAAAUCCCCGGGCUUAACCUGGGAACUGCGUUUGAAACUGCAAGGCUAGAGUGUGGCAGAGGGGGGUGGAAUUCCGCGUGUAGCAGUGAAAUGCGUAGAGAUGUGGAGGAACACCAAUGGCGAAGGCAGCCCCCUGGGUCAACACUGACGCUCAGGCACGAAAGCAUGGGGAGCAAACAGGAUUAGAUACCCGAGUAGUCC